RNAcentral lists this long non-coding RNA (390 nucleotides) under Ananas comosus (pineapple). RNAcentral's name for it is "long non-coding RNA (ACOM_LNC007180)". The record is from RNAcentral. Lineage: Eukaryota; Viridiplantae; Streptophyta; Magnoliopsida; Poales; Bromeliaceae.
UCCUACCAAAUUAUAGAUAUCAAAACCUUUCAAGAAGUAAAAAUCAAAUUCCUUUCUUUACAAUCGCACUAGAAAAUCUUUACACCAAAUAAACUAUCCUUAAAUAAAAUUAUUCCUACUUCCAAACAUGGUCUAAGUAAAUUAACGAGAUAAACCAUGUAAGUUGUUCAUGUAUCCGAGCAGCCGUGGGCGAUUGAAAGCUAACUGUGAUUUUUCACUUCUUUAAAGAUUUUGACAUUCAUAAUUUAAUAGAAUGACAUAUUUUAAGCUACAAAGUUAAUUUAUUUUACACCAAAAAACAAUUUAGAGACUAAAUAUGGCAUACCAAUCUAGACAUUUGAUCAAACUCCUCAUCUAUCAGAAACUCCAACCUUCUUAAGUAAAUCAAUA